UCCAAUAUCGAGAGUUGGCACUGACAGCUCGUCUCUUGUUCGAGAUGGAAGGGUCUGCACUAGCAGCCCUCUUGCUACUUCUAGAUUGGCUCGAUCCUUUGGCAUCGACUCCUUUUGGAUUGGCCCGAUCGUCGUCAUGGCUUGAUAUGAAUGGAGGAGUCUGCAAUGAAGACACGGAGUGUGUUGGUUUUACUAGAAUUGGAAGUGAAGAUCAGAUCAUUGUGGCUGGUACAAUGAAGCAACUUUAAUUGCAUGUAUUUUUCCUGUCAAAUAGUACUGUAGGAGUGUGCAACUACUCAAAUUUUGACGUGUUAUUAUGUAAAAAAUUAAACUCUUCAAUAUUUUGUGCUGAAAGUAGUAACUUUUCAAUAUGUUGAAUAUUUAAGACUACUUGAAUACUUAAAGAACAUUUUGUUGUUGAUGACAGUGUUGAAUGUUUUAAACUAAUUUGUGGAUUGUUAAUACAAUGUUGAAUGUUUUUACUUUUUGUUAUUUGAAAAUCAAGUUCAUUUGAUAA
Long non-coding RNA from Humulus lupulus (European hop), 517 nucleotides. RefSeq lists it as uncharacterized. The record is from RefSeq and is a predicted model, not a curated record. Lineage: Eukaryota; Viridiplantae; Streptophyta; Magnoliopsida; Rosales; Cannabaceae. The transcript is spliced from 2 exons.